AUGGUGAAUUACAUUAGUAGAAUAAGUGAUUACAGAACAUCAUUUGGAUACAUGAAUAAUGAAUUAUAUCCAUGCAAUAAACAAAUCAAUUUGUACAGAAUAUAUAUAAAGAAAACCUUGGUCUCUAAACACUAUCUCUGUCUUCAUGUAUUUAUCUCAUCCUUCUGUAUGUUUUCCACUUUUCUUCUUUACAUAGUAAUUUCAGUUUCUAAUCCUUUUGAACUUUCGCGUUGGUAUAUAUGA
Molecule: non-coding RNA, 243 nt
Organism: Vicia faba (fava bean)
Lineage: Eukaryota; Viridiplantae; Streptophyta; Magnoliopsida; Fabales; Fabaceae
Source: the annotation of a GenBank genome assembly